RNAcentral lists this small RNA (270 nucleotides) under Tursiops truncatus (common bottlenose dolphin). RNAcentral's name for it is "7SK RNA (ENSTTRG00000025163.1)". Lineage: Eukaryota; Metazoa; Chordata; Mammalia; Artiodactyla; Delphinidae. The record is from RNAcentral.
GGGUGCUCUGGCUGCGACAUCUGUCUGUCAUUCAUUGGUCCCAGGGUUCGUCGGAUGGACCUAGCUGGUUAAGCUGCUUCUUCAGGCACAGCUUUCCCAAGGCUGCUCAAGGAAAGAAUCACAGGCAUUCGUUUUUCAAACAAGUUUUUAUAAGCUACAGACCUCCUUUGUGAGAACUUAUAAGGAACUGUUCAAGAAAUAGUUUGCAACUCUAAGUUAAGCAAGGUUAAUAUGAAAUAAUGACAACAAAUAAUUGUUCUCACAAAAGUU